GGGGUUUUCCCCCCCCUCGCCGACCCCGUCCUCUGACCACUAUGCCCUUUUUUCUCCCUUUUCCCCUCCGCAACCGCCUCUACCUUCUCGGCCCUUGUAUAAUCGAUCAUCCAGUCACAACCUGCCAAGGGGGCCUUCUGCUCCCGUUGAUUCAUCGUCGUCAUCAUCUUAUGAGCUCAAGCCGUCGCCAUCGCGAUCGCCGCCGUC
Molecule: unclassified non-coding RNA, 207 nt
Filed under: Hevea brasiliensis (rubber tree)
Lineage: Eukaryota; Viridiplantae; Streptophyta; Magnoliopsida; Malpighiales; Euphorbiaceae
Source: RNAcentral